Molecule: transfer RNA, 74 nt
Filed under: Jatropha curcas
Lineage: Eukaryota; Viridiplantae; Streptophyta; Magnoliopsida; Malpighiales; Euphorbiaceae
Rfam family: tRNA
About the family: Transfer RNA (tRNA) molecules are approximately 80 nucleotides in length. Their secondary structure includes four short double-helical elements and three loops (D, anti-codon, and T loops).
Source: Rfam by way of RNAcentral
GCUGGAGUAGCUCAUUUGGUUUGAGCGUGCGACUGCUGAUUACAAGGUUGAAGGUUGGAUCCCUUUCUAUAGUG